RNAcentral lists this ribosomal RNA (246 nucleotides) under uncultured marine eukaryote. RNAcentral's name for it is "partial 18S ribosomal RNA". It matches the Rfam family "Eukaryotic small subunit ribosomal RNA", at positions 1189 to 1456 of the family's 1831-position model. The record is from RNAcentral.
CUUAAUUUGACUCAACGCGGGGAAACUCACCAGGUCCAGACACAAUAAGGAUUGACAGAUUGAUAGCUCUUUCUUGAUCUUGUGGUUGGUGGUGCAUGGCCGUUCUUAGUUGGUGGAGUGAUUUGUCUGGUUAAUUCCGAUAACGAACGAGACCUUAACCUGCUAAAUAGACCAGCCGGCUUUGGCUAGCUGCUGUCUUCUUAGAGGGACUAUCAGCGUUUAGCUGAUGGAAGUUUGAGGCAAUAA